UCCGCGUCACGCGGUACGGUCUGUCCGAAUCGACGACGGCGAGACGGAAGCCGGUGGGAAUCCGGCACGGUCGCGCCACUGUAUGCGGGCCUCCCCCGAGGAGCGCCCGUGAGUCAGACCCGUGGCCGUCGUCCUGUGCACCA
Molecule: non-coding RNA, 143 nt
Filed under: Streptomyces griseoaurantiacus
Lineage: Bacteria; Bacillati; Actinomycetota; Actinomycetes; Kitasatosporales; Streptomycetaceae
Source: RNAcentral